CACGUAGGGCGCAAGCGUUGUCCGGAAUUAUUGGGCGUAAAGAGCUCGUAGGUGGUUUGUUACGUCUGCUGUGAAAUCCUAGGGCUUAACCCUGGGCUUGCAGUGGAUACGGGCAGACUAGAGGUAGGUAGGGGAGUGUGGAAUUCCUGGUGGAGCGGUGAAAUGCGCAGAUAUCAGGAGGAACACCCGUAGCGAAGGCGGCACUCUGGGCCGAUACUGACACUGAGGAGCGAAAGCGUGGGGAGCGAACAGG
This 253-nucleotide ribosomal RNA is filed under the name uncultured bacterium. RNAcentral's name for it is "partial 16S ribosomal RNA". It matches the Rfam family "Bacterial small subunit ribosomal RNA", at positions 524 to 776 of the family's 1533-position model. The record is from RNAcentral.